GAAUCUAUGUGGAAUGAAAAUGGAUUGAGGAGACGGAAGCAACAUUCUAGAGGAAAAUCAAAAAAAAAAAUCGGAAACAUCAUAUUUGUCUUAUGCGAUGUUUUGAAGAAUACUAACUCCCCCUGAUUUCUACCGUGUGCCUUUAAAGAGAUGUUGAGAGAGCGAGAUAGUGUGCGAGAGGGACUUCGUGGUAGUGAAAACACGCUUUAAUGAUACAUUU
Caenorhabditis elegans is the source of this 220-nucleotide non-coding RNA. NCBI's taxonomy places the organism in Eukaryota, Metazoa, Nematoda, Chromadorea, Rhabditida, Rhabditidae. The record is from Ensembl.